UUAAAAGGUCACUCCGCACAGUAACCCG
RNAcentral lists this small RNA (28 nucleotides) under Bombyx mori (domestic silkworm). RNAcentral describes it as "ovarian small RNA-9260". Lineage: Eukaryota; Metazoa; Arthropoda; Insecta; Lepidoptera; Bombycidae. The record is from RNAcentral.